UCCAAUCAGAAGAAGACAAGUAAUGGUAACACAUUGAAGGAUUUCGAGUCGAAACCCGGCUCCUUUCUCUGGGGGUAUCAAGGCAACGACGCUGAGUCUAAGUCUAAGGAGGAGAAGCCUCUUAUGAAAGGCUUUGAGUCAAAGCCCGGCUCCUUUCUUUGGGGGUAUCAGGGCAACGACGCUGAAUCUAAGUCUAAGGAGGAGAAGCCUCUUAUGAAAGGCUUUGAGUCGAAGCCCGGCUCCUUUCUCUGGGGAUAUCAAGGCAACGACGUUGAGUCUAAGUCUAAGGAGGAGAAGCCUCUUAUGAAAGACUUUGAGUCAAAGCCCGGCUCCUUUCUCUAGGGGUAUCAAGGUCCUCUUAUGAAAGACUUUGAGUCGAAACCUGGCUCCUUUCUCUGGGGGUAUUAAGGAAACGACGCUGAGUCUAAGUCUAAGGAGGAGAAGCCUCUUAUGAAAGACUUUGAGUCGAAGCCCGGCUCCUUUCUCUGGGGGUAUCAAGGCCCUCUUAUGAAAGACUUUGAGUCAAAGCCCGGCUCCUUUCUCUGGGGGUAUCAAGGCAAUGACGCUGAGUCUAAGUCUAAGGAGGAGAAGCCACUUAUGAAAGACUUUGAGUCGAAGCCCGGCUCCUUUCUCUGGGGGUAUCAAGGCAACCACGCUGAGUAUAAGGAGGAGAAACCACUCGUGAAAGAUAAUUAAUGUCCAGGGAAGCCGCAACUUUACCUCUGAAUGAGCUACGGACAUAUAUGUCUUCUGGCUGGUCUGAUUUUCUCCAUUUUCUUUAUUGGCAUGAAAAUGUGUGAUAUGUAAUAAAUGCAGUUCUUCUUUCAACCAAGCGUUCCGUAUAAUUAAUUAAAUGAAGUCAGUACCGUUGAGUGCAUUUUCUGUUUCUUUGUUUGUUGUUUCUUUUUGCCAUUGACGGGUUUUUACUUUAAGUGCAAGUUUAAUUCCGAUUUUACACCCGUUGGACUGCAAGUAUACAGGUCGCAAUUGUAGUACAAGAUGUGUAUCGGGUCGAUCCCACGAGGAGCAAUUUAAACAAUUACUAAGCCCUUAUUCUCUCUAUUAUUUAGACUUACAAUUAAUUUGAGCAGAGAAAGUCUAAUGCUGUAAUCUACAAAUCUGAUAUACAAAUCUAGUUUAACAAAUACUGAAUACAAAUAGAGAAAUUUUACUUAAGGAAGAUUCUAGGGAUGUAGAUUCCACUUAUGGCAUAAACUACACAAAUGAAUGGAUUUACUCCUUGCUAUUAUUCUUGCUUAACCAGAGAUUUAUUUCCAAGAAUACCAAGUCUCAUUUUCAUGAUGAAAUGGCUUAGAGCAAUAUAGAUUUCCCUAUUUUCAUGGUGAAAUAUUCUACUACUCCGUUUUAUUUCAUGAAAUGCUCAAUAAUCCACCUAAGUGUAUCUCUAUUUUCAUGAACAUACAACUCAAGCUCUACUCAUGUGUUUCAAUUGUUAUUACCAAUUCUCAUUGAAUAAUAACACUAUAAACAUGCUAUUGGUGAUCAAUCAAUAACAAGUAAUCACAGCUACACAAGUAGACAAGUUAAUACAAGAUAUAACAAGUGUAGAUCACAUUCAAUUAGUAUUAUUUAGCAAUAAGUUUCAUCUACUCCCUAGAUGAAGGAGUUUAGCUACUCAUGAAUGAUUUAACAAUCAAACUCACAAGUUUAUUAAUGCAAAACAUCAUAAAGUACAAGUAUGAGAAAGAUAAAAGAAAGCUUAGCCAAUUGAAGGUGAAGCUCUCCAAUUCCUGCUAUGUUCUUGCACAAUAUGAUUAUAAGUGAAACUCUCCAAAAAAAUGCUUCUCCAAGUACUCCUAUCUAGAGAGAAAAAAUGUUACAAAAUGAAAAACUAGCUACGUAUGGUCCUCUUGGCUUCUCCCCUGUGUUUCUACAUAAAAUGUGGUAGAAAUUCCAUUCCUCUCACUUCAUAAUUUCCUCCACUCAGAUUUUGUAAAAAGAAGUCAAAGAUAUGAUGUUUCCUUUUGUCCACACUCAUUUGGUCUUCUCUUUUGUUGCAGAAGCAUGUGCCACCGAUUUCUGUCCCUCAAAAUAGCUGGAAAAGUUGUGAGAAAGGUAAAGAAAAACGGCUGUACCACUUGCUGAAGAGAGAGACAGAUCCGAGCCUCGGAUCCGAGGGCUGAAAAUGGAUCCGAGCUCGGAUUAUAGGAUCCGAGGUCUUCCCUUGAUAGAUCCGAGGUCGGAUCGUCCUGACCUCGGAUACACUCCGCCAGAAGUACAGACGAGGGGUCGGAUCCCUCUUAUACACACGGAUCCGAGCUCGGAUCCGUGUUGAGCAAUUUUCCAGUUUUUCACUUCUUCCCUUUUUCUACAUUUUUGCUCCCAAUUUCUUGUAUACUUUGUCCUCUGGAUGACCCUGACAUUUCUUUCAACUUGUGCAUGAAUUUCAUACAUCAAUUACCUUCACAAUUUCACAAAAUUAACGCAUUAAUCCACUCAUUUAUCAAUUUCUUAACCCUUAAACAAUAUUUAAGCAAUUAUCACCAAAAGAGUUCAAAUAUGGCUUUAAUCUUCUCAAAACAUACCAAAAAUUCAUGCCAAAUUCGUACAAAAUGUACGUUAAAUAUUCACUCAUCAGCCAUUUACCAUAGACAGGAAGCGCACAAAAAAUGAGCUAUUCAAGCAUGACAAGAAUCAUAGAGUGAGCGAACCAACUAUACCUUGAUAAUCUAAAAAGAGUUCUGCAAACUCGUACUCUCGUACUAAACCAGGACCAUAUAUAUAUAUAGAUAUGUCGAUUCAAUUUUCUAAUGAUGUGUGUGGUACGAACGCACAUUAGAAUUACAGAAAAUUCUAGAGUAAACUUUCACAAAAGAAGGGAAAGAAUGGAGAGCUCUUGAAGCGUGAUUGAUCGCUAUUCUUAAGAAUCCAAUUAUCCAUACUACACUAAGUAUUUGCUGUAGAGAUAAAGGUAAUUUAACUUUAGGAUACAACAAGAGAAGAAGAAGUUGAUAGCAAUAUCAAGUUUCUCAAACUAAGAAAUGAUCAAAUAAUUCUAGCUAGUUUUGACAAUAAAGGCUUGUUUUUUUACAAGUAACCUGUUUUCCACUCGUCUCUAAGUAUAUAUCCUUCGAUACGUGGCACUUAAUCCCAAUUAUUUGACUUUAAACUUCAUUCUGUGAUGUGGAUUCUAUGUGUUAGUAUAUACAAGACUAAUCUUAAACAUUACUUGAAAAUCAUAUUAUAUGUAAUUGAGUACCGCAUAACUUGCAAUUAUCCACUUACGCUCUCAAUAUUAUUGGGAUAUUACAUGGAUUUUCGUUUCGGUAACUCUAAUUAUAUAGUCUCACGAUCCAUCUUAACUGAAGGGGCCAUUAUGAAUUACCAAUUAUAUAGUCUCACGAUCCAUCUUAACUGAAGGGGCCAUUAUGAAUUAGAUGAACAUGAAGUUGAAUUUCGAUUCUCAAGCUAUUCCCUUCCUCUUUCUUCAUUGUAAGGAUUAGAGUCUCUUUUGGAGGAAAAAAACACUCUAAUUAUACAGGAUUAAAGCAAAUAGCAAUGGUUGAUAAGUGACUAAUUUACGUAAUAAUUGUAUAAUAUUUUAUAUUAUUUUUAGUCACUUUAGUUAUAUUAUUGGAAGAAAAUGAAUGAUUUUGGCUAUAAUUGGUGAAAAAUACUUUUAAAUAAUUAAAUGAGGUUUUUAUCACUUUUUACUUGGAUUUUGUGUAUUUUGAUAGUUUUGACAUAUUUUCGUAUUUCGGCUAUAACUUGAGUUACAAUGAUCGGAUUGGGAUGAUUCUUGAACCCAUUUGAAGAUAAGAGAUAGAUCUACAACUUUGGUGAAAACAUCUGAAUCCAGUUUGAAGCGUUUCCAAGUCAAAAAGCCGAAUUACAGUAGCAAAUUUCCACUGGUCGAAGCUGAAACAGGGCAAUGAGCAGGCAAGGGUAUUUCGGUCAUUUCUCAGCCUACACAGAUCCAAAUGAGGUGAUUCUUGAUGCAUUGGAAAGCUAACUCAAAGGGCUACAAAUUUCAUGUUUUGAUCAAGAGCUAAAUCAGCUUUUAUCAUCAAGAAAAGUUCAGUGGAAGUUGAUGCAAAAUUGGAGCAGAGCUGGAAAUUGAACCAGAAGUGAUCAAAUGGUCACUGUAGCAAUCCGGCAGGAAUUUGGCCGGAUUUGUGGCCGGAUUCCUGGCCGGAUUGUGGUCAGAGAAGGCUGCUCUUUACGCGGAAAACUUAAUUUCAUCUCCACCAACUCACAUGUGAUGCUAGACAUGUGAGAAACAUUCUCAGCUGUAAAAGGGAGGUGUAAACCUCACUUCUUGACCAACUUUCAUCAUUAUAUAGCAAAAGCUUGCAAGAUUGAAGGGAGAUAGAGAGAGAUACGGGAGAAAGCUUGGACUGCAAAAAAUGUAGCUCUACCAUUCUUCCUAGUGUUAGUUUAGCUUAGUAUAGAGUAGGAUAGUUCAUCCAUUCUUGUUAUUAGCUAGAUAAAGAAGAAGAUAAAGGAUGAAGAAGGCAAGGAAGAAAGCUCAUGUGACAAGGGUUGUAUUCCUUCCAAACUCUUUAUCUUUUGUACUUGAUUCCAAGUUUAGUUGAUAUGCAAGUUCUGGAUUUUGUGUUCAAUAUGUGUCUCUAAAGUUUAUACCUUGGGUUUGGUUGAACUUUCUAUAAUUGUUAGUGUUUAUUAUUUGGUUAUUUGAUUGCUAUGAUUUGAGCAAGUUAUUUAGCACUUUGGCUCUUUAAAUCAUGAUUAAUUUGGUACCAUUGAUUGUGAUUAUCUAAGGUGUUGUUUCUGCAAUGAAAAUUGAGAUUUAACACUGGUUCAAGAAGUGCUAAACAUAGGGAAUACACUCACGAGAGUAGAGCUACACCUAUGUGGUUUUAGUGAUUCAUUCCAUGUAAUUUCACUGAAGAAAUGAACUUGUAGCUAAUUUCAUAACCAUGAGAAUAGGUAUGGAUUAGUUAUGAGUAUAGUUGAUUCACUACGAAAGUAGGUUUCACAUGUUUAAGGAAAUUACACCAUAACUAGCUUAGAUGUAGUAUUCAAUGAUCCAAAUAUAGCACUUGCAUGAGUAGUUAGGGAUACCACAAUCUAAGGAGCUUUUAUUUGUUAUUUUAUAUAAUUUCAGUAGGUUAAAUUUGUUAUAAUUCAUUGAUAGUCUAAAUAAUAGAGAAGCUUUCGUAAUACCGGUAAUUGUUCACUCUUCCCUGUGGAAUCGACCCGAUAUAUACCCUAAACUACUAGUUGACCUGUAUACUUGCAGUGAAUGGGUGUAAUUCGAUUUUUUUUUUUUUAACUUGCACGUAUGUAAAAUACCCGUCAAUGGUCUAUAAAAGCAUAAAAAGUAAGCAGGCUGGGGCAUAUUUAUUAAAACAUGAAAAUAAUAUGAAAUUUUAUAAUACACAUGAUACGAAUAAUAAACUGUACGUAAAUAAUGCAAAUAUAUUCGAAAAGUACAAAGCUGAUCAAAAUACAGCUUCAUUUACCAUGUGCAUAAUAGCUGUGUGCACAUUCUAGUGAAGAUUUUUUUAUUUUUAGUGUAAGUGAGAAAUUUCGAGUUCCAAACCUUUCACUUACACUCUUUUUUCCUAUAUCAUCCAAUCCAUCCCUUCCCAUAUUUUUAUGAAGAUGAGCACAUAAUGUGAGUUUUUAUUUUUUGAGGUGAAUAACUUGUUCACAAAAAAGUUUUCUCGAUUUAGGUAAAGUUUAAACUUUACCUUGUCUAAACAACGCAAGUAGAUGCCACUAGGACUAGGGAUGGCAACGGGGCGGGGGACCCCUCCCCCAUCCCCCGCCCCGCUACCUACAAACUCCCCCCGUCCCCCGCCUCCCACUUCCCCUGCCCCGCCCCGCUUCCCCCGCGGGGUUAAUAAAAUUUUUCCCGCUAGAUUAAUAAAAUUUUAUUAUAGUUAAAUUUUAAUAAAUAAUCAAGUACUAAAAUAUCAACACAUCAUCAAGUUAUUAUUCAUUUUAAUUUUAUAAUUGAAACUCAUAAAAACAAUCAAACAAAAAUUAUUUGAAUACAAUCCAACAUGAUGAAAUAAAUAUAACUAAAAUAGUUAAGUUUUCACUUUUGGUACAAAUACAAUCACUAAUUCAUUAUUGUGUUUGUGCUUUUUUUUUUAGAAAAAGUGUUAUUCAAUUAAGUAUAAUUAGAAAUUUAGUAUAAAUGUAUUACUAAAUUUAGUAUAACUAAUUAAUAAAUUCUAUUAGUAGACAUGUCUAAUUAUUCGUAUAAUUGAUAAUAUUAAUUAUAUUACAUACACUAAUAUACAUUAUAUAAUACAUCUAACUAAUAAUAUCAUUAUCAUAAGUUUAUAACUAAUUAAAUUACAUAUUAUAUAUAAUUAUAUAUAUAAUUUUUUUUGAGGGUGGCGGGGCGGUGGAUGGGGCGGGGGUAUACUCCCCCGCUCCCCGCCUUGUUUCUAAACGGGGGAAAAAAUUCCCCCCCGUCCCCGCCCCAUCCCCCGCCCCAACCCCAGCCCCGAGAGCCCCCCGCGGGGCGGUUGCCUGCGGGCACCCGCCCCCAUUGCCAUCCCUAACUAGGACAGAAGUCAUUAUGAUGACUUCAUCCAAGGUAACGAAAAAAAAGGCGUACAAUUGCACUUAAAAUUUGUGAAUUUAUAGUACUAUUUCAUGGUUUAUCCUAGGGGUGUUUCGCGAAUCGAGCCGCUCGCGAUCGAAAACGAGCUCGACUCGAGCUCGUCAAUAUCGAGUUUGAGUCGAGCUCGAGCUAAUUAAGUCGAUCUCGAGCUCAAGCUCGAGCUCAAAAACAUUAAGCUCGUUGGCUCGCGAGCGGCUCACGAGCUCGAUUAUAUAUAUUUUUUUUUAUUUUUUAUUUUAAUAGUAAAAUUACAUAUAUCUCUAAUAUUUUAUUAUUUAUUAAAAAAAUUAUUAUUUUAUUCAUUUUUAAAAAUAAAUAAUUAUUUUUUAUUUUUUAAAAAUAAAAUAAUAAUAAUUAUUUUUUUAUUUUUUAAGCUCAAGCUUGAGCUCGAGCUCGACUCGAAUUUGACUCAUGCUCAAGCUCGAGCUCGAUAUUUUGAGCUCGUCGAGCUCGAGCUUCACAAAAUUAACUCGAGGUCGGCUCGAUUAGCCAAAGCUCGACUCGAGGUCGGCUCGUUUGCACCCCUAGUUUAUCCCCUCAAAGUUAACAACAAAUAAUGUUUUGAACCCCAUUUAAACAACUUAUGAGCGUAAUUCAAAUUUAUUGCUCCAUUAUGUGUGUACAAUGUAUCAAAACAAAAGAGUAGCAAAUUGUGUUUUAUUGCACUUUUUGUUUAGCUAGCUUCAUGCAAAUUAACCUUCGUAGAUUAUAGGUAAAGAAUUGGUUUGCCAUUCAAUGUAUCCAAGAAAUAUGUGUUAGUACAUAAUGCUUAUUUUAAUGGAUGUACUGGUGUAAAACAAAAUUACAAAUUAUUAAAUUUUAAACUUUACAAGUACUUAAAGCACAAUAAUUUUUUAUUAAAUUAAAAUUUUCCCUUCUGUGAUUUGGUAGUUUAUCUUAUAACCCCUCUAUAGUUUAAAAAUCUGUAAUCAACCUCCUCAUAAUCUGGGUUAACAUAUCAUCGUUAAUUUUUCUAAAGUUUAAGUCAAAUUAAUAUAUUGAAAAAUUUAUCCUUUCACUAAUUCUUUGAGGUAGUUACAAAACUAUUACAAUUAUUAUACACCUUAAACUAUGUAUUUGUUUUCAAGUAAACACAAAAGGUGCAACAAACCAUUUUUAGCCAAGUUAAUAAAAUUGCAAAUGUAACAAUAAAAAGCACCCUAUGAAAAGUUACUCUAUAUGAUUAAGAAAAUAAUUUAUAUUUAUUAGAAUGGAAAAAAGUUGCCAGAAGAGGGAGAGACCAUAAGAAAAAUAGUUUAGAGUGAACUGCAUCAAUCAUGCCUUCCAUCAGGGAAAAAUGAUAGAUGUGCGUGUAUAUAGGUACAUAUACGCGCAUUUAUGUAUGUGCAUGUACACGGACGUGAGGUAGUUCCUUUAAAAAGUAGCUUCUCCUGCAAUAAUCCAAAUUUUAGCACAGUGGCAGAAAUGGAAAAGUAGUAUAGGCUGAACCGAAAUCUACUAAAAUACAAGCUUGAAAUUCAGAUAGAAAUUGAAAUGCAUAAAACGUCCAGAGCCUUUUUUUUUUUUUUUUUUGAGGAGAUAAAACGUUCGGAGCUGAAAGCAGAACCAGUCUUUGAGUCGUAGUGUUAUUUAGAUUCAAGUGAAAGAGGGGGCACAGGAUACAAUACAGCAGCCAAACAGAAAUGGAAGCUUGAGCUCUUGGACCAUUUGGCCAGAACGGUAGAGCCCUAAAUUGGAACCAAUACAAAGCUUUCUGCCGGAAGAACAUGGCAAACAUGGGAGGUCCCGGAAGGCAACGCGACCAUGGUUCCGGUAUCCAUGUGACAAACAGCUUCGAUUGUCAGUAAAAUCCUGUACACGCCCGAUUGUCAGCCUGUUGAGAAUGGCAAUAAAAGAUUUAAGGAUAAGCCAUGGUUCGACAGGAUGUCAUCUUCGGAGUUAAAAUCAUUUCAGGAACUUGUAAGAUUGUGUUGUUUUUAUUAGGGAUAAUGUAUAUCUCUGUAACAGAGUUAAUGUAUAUCUCUGUAACAGAGUUGGUUAUCAGUUUGGAUUGGUAAAUAGAUAUCUAGCUGAUUAGGCGUUAUCCUUAGCUGUACUUGUAUUCAAAUAGGAUUAGUAGCUAUCGGUAGCGAUAUUCACGGUUUGGGCUGUAUGUAUAUAUCCUUGCCGAAUGCGUAAGAAACUGGAUAAAAACUUCUUCCGCUGAAACCUUUUCAUGGUAUCAGAGCAAGAACCUUCUGUCAACUGAAAAAACAUGGAAGGAGAUGGAAAGAAAAUAGUGUCGCCAUACACCUUGUAUGCCAAUGAUAAUCCUGGAAAUAUAAUCACCCAGGUACAGUUGAAGGAGGAUAAUUAUGACGAAUGGGCUAGAGCAAUCCGAACUGCUCUUAGAGCCAAGAAGAAAUUCGGAUUCAUUGAUGGAACCAUAGCACAGCCAGAUGAAGAUUCCGAUGAAUUAGAAGACUGGUGGACAGUGAAUUCCAUGCUUAUAUCGUGGAUGAUGAAUACGAUUGAGCCAACGGUGCGAUCUACUUUGACACACAGGGAGAUUGCAAAGAACUUGUGGGAAGACAUUAAAGAAUGUUUCUCAGUGACUGAUGGUGCACGAGUGCAGCAACUGAAGACAGAAUUAGCAAAUUGCAAACAGCAAGGACUCUCCCUUAUGAGUUACUAUGCUAAAUUGAAGCGACUGUGGGAGGAACUGGUGAAUUAUGAUGCAAUCUCUACGUGCAAGUGUGGGGGUUGUACGUGUAAUGUGGCAACUGAAUUAACAAAGAAACGAGAAGAAGAAAAACUUCAUCAAUUUCUGAUGGGGUUAGACGAUGCAUAUAGAACAGUGAGAUCAAACAUUUUGAGCACAACUCCAUUGCCUGGUGUGAGCAAGGCGUAUUCCUUGAUGUGCCAAGAAGAAAGGGUUCGAAAUAUCUCCAAGGAAAAAGAGAUUAACAACGAAGCGGCUAGCUUUGUGGUUCAGGCCAAAACAGGAAUCAAGGAUAGGAGUGCCGUUUGUAAAUACUGCAAUCGCGAAGGGCAUGAUGCUGACGGAUGUUUUCAGCUGAUUGGAUAUCCCGAUUGGUGGGGUGAUCGACCUAAAAUGUCUGGUUCGGGUCGAGGAAGAUAGACUGGAGGAAGAGGACGUGGCAAGAUGUCAGGAAGAGGACGAAAUGGGGCACGAGUUAAUGCAGCAAGUAAUUGAAGAAUCCACUGCUGCAACAAAGGAUUUUGCUACUCUUAAAGGACUGACAAAUGAACAAUGGGCAGCAGUUGUGAGUUUGUUGAACGCUUGCAACUCAGAAUCAGGGAGUAAUGAGAAGAUGACUGGUAAGGAAAACUUUAUCUGGAUAAUUGAUUCUGGCGCUACACAACAUAUGACAGGAAAUUCGAGCUGUCUAUCUAGCUUGAACCAGAUAUUAGGCUGUCCCAUUGGCUUGCCUAAUGGAGAACAGGUGCUGGCAUUGCAAAAAGGGUCGAUUCGGAUGGGACAAAAUAUUCAAUUAGACAAUGUUCUUCAUGCUCCGGGAUUACAUUGCAAUUUAAUCUCAGUAUCACAAUUGGUUGAUGACUCAAAAUGUAAUGUGUUGUUCACUGAUAAGCUUUGUUUGAUACAGGACCGCACUUCGAGGAUGGUGAUUGGAGCGGGUGAACGAUGCAAGGGGCUUUAUUACUUCAAGAAGGAGACGCCAGUCCAAGCACUUCAAACUCGGACGUUGGAUUCAUGUGAUCUUUGGCAUCGGAGAAUGGGGCACCCAUCUUCAAAGGUCGUAGGUUUAAUUUCUGGGAUUAAGAUUCAAUUAGGUUCAAAUGAAACUUGUGAUGCUUGUUUUAAAGCUAAGCAAACGAGAGAAGUAUUUUGUUCUAGUGAUAGUAGAGCUAGUGAAACAUUUGAAUUGAUUCAUUGUGACUUGUGGGGACCAUAUCGAGUCUCGAGUUCUUGUAAUGCAUCUUAUUUUCUUACGAUUGUUGAUGAUUUUUCGAGAUGUGUGUGGAUAUAUUUGCUGAUCGAUAAAACUGAAGUUGGCCAUAUUUUGCCAAAUUUUGUUACUAUGGUUCAACGACAAUUUGUUAAGAAUGUUAAGAUAGUUCGUAGUGAUAAUGGCAGUGAGUUCGUCAGUUUGAAGGGAUAUUUCUCUGCUAAAGGGAUAAUCCAUCAAACUUCAUGUGUGGGAACGCCCCAACAGAAUGGACGAGUGGAAAGAAAGCAUCGGCAUAUACUGAAUGUGGCUAGAGCUUUAAGAUUUCAGGCCAACUUACCAAUCAGAUUUUGGGGAGAAUGUGUGUUAACUGCUGGAUAUCUGAUUAAUCGUACCCUUUCUCAAUUACUAGGAGGAAAAACACCUUAUGAAAUGCUAUAUGGUCACUUGCCUGAUUAUCGGUCAAUUCGUACAUUUGGUUGCUUGUGUUAUGCACAGAGUUUGAAUCGUACGAAGGAUAAAUUUGCUCCUCGAAGCCGGAAGUGUAUCUUUGUGGGUUAUCCGUUUGGACAGAAAGGUUGGCGGUUGUAUGAUUUAGAAACACGGAAGUAUUUUGUGUCUCGGGAUGUUGUAUUUUGUGAAGAUGAGUUUCCAUGUGCAGUUGACCACACACCUGAUCAUGUUCGAACCUGUACGGAUAAUUCAAUAGAUGAUUACCUUGAAGAAGAGGUAGUAGGUCAGACAAGAGACAAGGAAAAGGAGCAGCCUACUCCUGUUCGUGCAACUCAUGAGCGUUUAGAUUGUGUGCCGAAUGACAAUGUCAACGUAAGGCAGGGAGGUGUAACAAUUGAACCUCGAAUAGAGAACGUAGAGACAGUAGAAGGUGUGACAGCACUUGGUCGUGGCCUUCGUUCCAAGAAAGUCUCUACACGGCUGAAGGAUUGUGUGACUUAUGCAGUUCAAAGUGCAAGCCCCUCUGCAAGUUCAGCCAAUCCAUCAUCAUUCUCAGGUACGUCUUAUGACUUAGCUCAAUAUGUUGAUUACACAAAUUUCUCACCAGGUCAUCAAGCUUUCUUGGCAGCCAUCACAACCAAUUUUGAGCCAAGAUUUUAUCAUCAAGCGGUUAAAGAUGUCCGAUGGAGAGAAGCUAUGCAAAAGGAGAUUGAUGCACUCAAACAAAAUGGCACAUGGACUCUUGUUGACUUACCACCAGGGAAGAAAGCAAUAGGAAGCAAAUGGGUGUACAAAAUUAAGUAUAAUUCUGAUGGGACCAUUGAACGAUACAAGGCGCGAUUGGUAAUUCUUGGCAACAACCAGGUUGAAGGGAUCGACUACAAUGAAACCUUUGCACCAGUAGCAAAAAUGGUUACGGUCCGCACAUUUCUCUCUGUGGCAGCAGCUAAAGGAUGGGGACUUCAUCAAAUGGAUGUUCAUAAUGCCUUUCUCCAUGGAGACUUAGCCGAAGAGGUUUACAUGAAACUACCUCCUGGAUUUCACACUGACCAACCCGGGAAGGUGUGUCGCUUAAGAAGGUCCCUUUACGGUUUACGACAAGCACCGCGUUGUUGGUUUGCAAAAUUGGCUGAAGCUCUAAAACGGUAUGGUUUUCUUCAGUCACAGUCUGAUUAUUCCUUGUUUACUUUGAUACGAGAUGGGAUCCAGUUGGGUGUGUUAGUGUACGUGGAUGACCUUAUUAUAGCUGGAAACAAAACGCAUUUGAUCAAUGCAUUCAAAUCAUAUUUGCGCAAGUGUUUUCACAUGAAAGAUUUAGGUGUUUUGAAGUACUUUUUGGGCGUUGAAGUAGCUCGAAAUGCUGACGGGAUUUUCUUGUGUCAACGGAAAUAUGCUUUAGAUAUCAUUAAUGAAGCAGGAUUGUUGGGUGCUAAACCUUCGGAGUUUCCUAUGGAGCAGAAUCAUUCUCUCGCUUUAGCCAAAGGUGAUUUGCUGCAGGAUCCUGAUCAAUACCGAAGGCUGGUAGGCCGUUUGAUUUACUUGAGCUUAACUCGGCCUGAGCUGCCCUAUGGUGUGCAUAUUUUGGCACAAUUUAUGCACCAGCCACGGAAAGAGCAUUGGGAGGCAGCCUUGCGCAUAGUCCGAUACUUGAAAGGUAGUCCAGGACAAGGCAUUUUACUCAAAGCUGAUUGCAAUCUUCAACUGAAAGCUUAUUGCGAUUCGGAUUGGGGAGGUUGUCCAUUAACUCGGAGAUCACUUACAGGUUAUUUCAUCUUUCUUGGGACCUCUCCGAUUUCAUGGAAGACCAAGAAACAACAUACGGUUUCUCGCUCUUCUGCUGAAGCGGAAUAUCGCUCCUUGGCCGCCACGGUCUGUGAAUUGAAAUGGCUAAAGGGUUUGUUAUUGUCUUUGGGAGUGCAUCAUGAUCAAUCUGCUGGAGUAUUCUGUGAUAGCCAAGCUGCGAUGCAUAUAGCUGCCAAUCCUGUCUUUUAUGAACGCACCAAACACAUCGAAGUUGAUUGCCAUUUUGUUCGCGAUGAAAUACAGAAAAGUAUGAUCAAAACGGUUUAUGUUCGAAGUCAUGACCAGUUAGCAGACAUUCUAACCAAAGCUUUGGGUCGAGAUCAGUUUGAGUUUCUUCUUCGCAAAUUGGGCGUUCGUGAUCCUCACGCUCCAACUUGAGGGGGGGUAUUAGGGAUAAUGUAUAUCUCUGUAACAGAGUUAAUGUAUAUCUCUAUAACAGAGUUGGUUAUCAGUUUGGAUUGGUAAAUAGAUAUCUAGCUGAUUAGGCGUUAUCCUUAGCUGUACUUGUAUUCAAAUAGGAUUAGUAGCCAUCGGUAGCGAUAUCCACGGUUUGGGCUAUAUGUAUAUAUCCUUGCCGAAUGCGUAAGAAACUGGAUAAAAACUUCUUCCGCUGAAACCUUUUCAGUUUUGCAAUCUAUCUGGAGUUGAUCUCGUGGGUUGUUGUGUCAAAAAGACUCCAAUAUUGGUCUCCGGACCCAUGAUUUUUCCUGCAAAUUCACCCAAUAACUCAUAGGAUGCGACACAAGUAUUCUUCUCUCCGUUGAUCGGCAUCCUCUCACACUCUCGAAGAGUAUUUUCCAUCAUCUGGGCUUUUCGAGGUCCUUGAGGAAUCGAAAAGUGUUCAAGAAUGUAAGGGAGUUGCUCUAGCUGUGGCAACUGACAAAAUUAUCCUUGAUUGCUAUUCUCUCUACAGGGUUCAAUGUAUAUGCAUGUGACAACAGUAUACCCUGUUAAUGGAGAAUUCAAUUUGGUGCUAUAUAUAGCCCAUUCUUAAACCAGGUUUUGUUUGAUUGGUUUUUAAAUUUGCCAGUGAUCAUACUGAGACCGGAUUGCCCCUGACGAAUUUGAAUUAUGGAGGCGAGUCCAUUAUUUGAUCAAGAACCACCAAGAUUUACUACAUGGCAAGCCAAGAUUUCAAUCUCAUCGAGCUCUUUUACAUUCAUUGUAUGGCAUGUACAAGAGCAUUAGUUUCGUUAAGUUAACGAUCAAUAGUUAUAAAUUCACAUGCAUAAAAAAAUAAAGUAAUUUUAGUUUAUGUACAUGACUCAGGAAAAAAUAUACCAAUAUACAGUAAUUCUUGGUAUAUAUAUUGAUUGUUAGUUCAUGUACAUAACUCAGGAAAAAAUUUUAGUUCGUGUACAUAAAUCUUGGUGUAUGUUUGUACCAAUUUUUGUGAAAGUUAAAUCAACCAAGCACAACUGGACCUGCGCCAAUCCAGGAUUUUCACUUGCCCGUCCCCCUAAUCCAAAUUUGAUGCACAUGCCAUAAAUUAAAAGAUAAAAAACUUAACAUUGGAGAAUUAAAUGUGCAAAAAGAAUAUAUAAUAUAAGACUAUUGUACAAUAUCAACAUAUGACACAUGUCUAUUGUACAACAUCGUCAAAUCAAGAAAAUACGCACACCCAGAAUACAUAGAUGUUCUAUACAGUCCCUAAAACUUUUUUUUAUAUAUACUAAUUUGAUACAGUCCACAGAACUCCAGUCUUUACCGUUACAAUUUCAACUUCUAAUUCUCUUUAGGGUAUUAAGAAGGCCUUACUUAUAAUAGGUCUGAAGAAAAGUCAAGACAAGAAGGAAAGCAGCGGCAAAUAAAGCAAUCGCUGUCCAGGGACUGUUAAAAUAAAUGUAGAAGAGUUCGGCCAGCCAUGUCUUUGCCUUCUUGUUGUAGUGUGCCUGAAUUUUCUCGUUCACAUCAUGACAAAUGGUGACAUUCCGCAUCCCGUAAGUGUUUAUGUCUUUAUAAACUGCUAGGUUUGGUUACAGGAAAUUGACAAAAGGAUUUUUGACAAUCUUAAAAAAGACAAAUAACAAAGCAAAAAUAAAUAAAAUAGAAACACAUGAAUUUACGUGAUUCGAUCAAAUUGACCUAGGUCCACGGGCGGAAGAGGAACAAUAUUUUACUAUGAAGAAAAAAGUACAAAAAUGCCUUAGGCCCAAAAAAACAAGAGAGUCCAAAAUAUUUUAUUAAACAAAAAAUUUAAUGACUCAAAGGUCUAAAUAGUCCUCUAAAUCUCUGUUGGUUUGGCAUACUUAAUCCCGUCACAAACCCAUUAUAUUUAUAGGCAACUAAGAGAAAGGCUCCCUUAUACAAAAGUCGAUAUGGGACAAUGCCACUUUAACAAAUCUCCACCUUGGCGUGUUCUCAAUAUCGACAAUAGCAAAAUUAUUCCACCUUCUCCACAUAAUCCCCAAUAGGCCUAAAUCACCAGCAACGAAUACCAACCAAAUUCAAGCAUUGAUUGAACUUAUAAAUUGGAAGAGGUUUUGUGAGCAUGUCUGUAGGAAUCUCCUUGGUACUGAUUUUCUGAACAAGGACUUUUCUCUCAGUAAUAAUAUCUCGAAUGAAAUGAAAUUUCACAUGAAUGUAUUUCGUUCUCUCAUGAUAUAUCUGGUCUUUAGUCAAAUAAAUAGCACUUUGACUAUCACAGUAAAUAGUAUGAUGAGAAUAUAAAGACCAAGGCCCAUUCAAGCACAUGGGGAAUUGGAAGAUUCAAGUGAAGACUAGUUGAUUGCACGAAUACUUGAGUUUAGUAGGAUUAUUUGAUUUUUCUCGUUGAUUUUGGUUAUUUCUCGCUUUAGAAAGUCUAGGUAAUUAAGCUAGUUUAAUUGCGGCUCAUUUGUUAGUAAGUGAUGCCCAAAAUCUUCCUUAAAGUAUGUAGGGUAGUUUGGUCAACUUUUGGAUUAGGGUUAAUGCUUGUAAGGGCUAUAAAUAGCCCCACUUCCUCUUUGUUUUAGGGGAUCAGUUUUUGACUAUUAAAUACAAUUAGUGAGUUUUCACUUUCUCUUUGGCAAGAGAGUUUCCUUUGAAUACUUGAGAAUCUUCUCAAGUUAUUCGCCUGAACUUAUCAAUCGAGUAUCUCCUUGAUUGUGGCGUUCUACUACCUCCAAUUUGGUUCGUUAAUUCGAGCAGUGACGGGUUGAGAUAAUAUCAAAAUUGUUCGUGACUUCUAGGGAUUAGUUGGGUCAAAUUUCCGCUGCCUAAACCAUGGUGUUUUGGUUGUCUAGAUCGGGGAUUCACAUCAGUUGGUAUCAGAGCUAGUCGACAACCACCAGGUUAUAUCUUUUUUUUGUUCGUGUAUUUCGAGUCAUAUAUGUUUAUCCCAAUCUGUUCGUUUGUUUAGAACCAAAAAAAAAAAAAAGUGUCACUGUUCACAGUUACUGUUCACACCAACACUGUUCAUCGUACUGUUCACCGACACUGUUCAUCAUUACUGUUCAUAGUUACUGUUCAUCCGAAUACAAAUCUGUCCAGCCUUAUUGUUUGUGUUAUCCAACUUGUUUACUUGGUUUUCAAAUCUGGAUUUUGGCAAAACUUGUUGGAAUUUUGUGAAUCUUGAAGAGAACUUACAAUAAUCUUGAGUUUCUUGCAUUCUUGAUCACAAUCUUGAAAUUUCUGAAGUUCCUGACAACUUCCUUGAAAGUUCUUGAAAGAUCUUGGAGUUCUUGGUAGUUAUUAUUUGUGGACUUCCUUGUUUUGUGUCGUGGUUAAUAGUUGUAGUAAAAAAAAAAUCACAGAAAACAAAAACGAAAAGAAAAAGAAAGAAAAGAGGAAUCGGUUGGCAAAAAAAAAAAAAAAAGGAAAGAAAGUGGCAACCGAAUUGUUUUGAAUAGGGAACCAAAUCUGAUUUAUGCAAUCUUUCUUGGAGUAGAAUUUGGAAGUUACCAAAAGUUGUUUCAAGAAAAUUACCAAAGGUUGUUUCAAGAAAGUUACCAAAAGUUGUUCAAGAGGAAAAGGAUUUUCAAAGGGUUUCCAAAAACUAACUUGUUUCCAAAAUUAAUUAGGAAACUAAGUAAAGCACUUGGAUAACUCUUUGUACUCAUUUGGACACUCUCUCUGCUACCUUUUUAGGAAACUUUCCUAAACUCUCUCAUCCAUUUCUUUUGGAAACUUUCCUAAAGUCUCCCAUCUAUUUUUAGGAAACUUUCCUAAAUUCUCUCAUACAUUUUUAGGAUCUUUCCUAAUUCUCUCAUCCACUUUAGGAAACUCUCCUAUAUUCUUUCAUCCAUUUUAGGAAACUCUCCUAUAUUCUCUUCCUAAAUUUUAGGAACACUCUCCUAUACUUUCUCCUAUAUUUUCUCCUAACUUUUAGGAACACUUUCCUACACUUUCUCCUACAUCUCCGUGAUUACUGUUGAGGAAGAAGUUGGUGACAAUUAUUUAGGCUUGAGCAGCAUUUCUCAAACUACCUAACCCAACAGGUAAAGGUGUUUGGUAAGUCCAUUGGAGCGCUUUGAGUGACAUACACGAGGGUGAGUGAUACACUAAGGGAGUGAGCGAGGCACUUUCUACUAACUGUUUGUUGAGCCUUGCAGGUACUCUAUAAACAUGUCUCAAACUCAUGCGACAAGUGACCCUUAUGACAUGAAACAUGUUCUUGAAGCAUUAACAGGCGUCAUUGAUCGCAUGGCUCAGAGAAUUGAUACACUGGAGGAUAAGGUGGAGCAAUCAACCCUAGGCAAGAAUGCCUCCAAAAGACAACCAUACGUGGAGGAGUUAGGUGAUUCGAACAAUGAGGAGGACAUGGCAGAUGGAAACCGAUUCCGGAAUUAUAAACGCAUCCCUAAUCAAGGGGAUGAUGAACUAAAAGGAAUCAAGCUCAAAAUUCCUACCUUCCCAGGCAAGUUGGACCCUGAAGCAUAUUUGGAAUGGGAGAGGAAGAUUGAGAUGCUCUUUGACUGCAACCACUACUCAGAGUCCCAAAAAGUAAAGUUGGCAACCAUUGAGUUCACUGAAUACGCAGCCAUUUGGUGGGAUCAGAUUCGCACCAGACAAAGAAGACAUGAAGAACCACUCAUUCGCACUUGGGAAGAACUCAAAAGGAUCAUGAGGAAGCGCUUCAUACCAGCGUAUUAUGAUAGGUUGCAAUUUUAUCAUUUAUUUUAUAAUUAAUUUCUCCUAUUACCUGACUUGAUGUGGGUUAAUUGCGGGAUUCUACUCACUUUUAGUAUUUUACAUUUAUUUCAGGGAGUAGAACGAAAAUAUAAUAACAUGUGCUAAUUUGACAGAAAAAGAGUCCAAGGCACAGAGCUUAUCCCGGGGGCAUUAUUGGCAAAGGAAGACUUUUGCCCAUUUUGGUAAUUUCAAAAGAAGAGAGCAGGGCAGAGGCCUCUAUUUUACUGGAGGCUGGAGCGCCGCACAAGGGGGUCUUCUUCUUCCUCUGCGGAAGGAGAGCCGCCGCGCAGAGCUUCUCAAAAGAGGACAUUAGAUAGGAAUAGAGCAAACAAUGGCAGACAACUCUUUAGCUUAGUCUUUUGACUUUUCCUUGUGGGCUCCAAGUAGCUUUUCCUUUUCCUUCUCGUAUGAUUGGACAAGUAGAAACCAUAGAAUCAAUUGCUGUAGCUUUGCUAUCUUUUCAAACAUUGGAACCGAAUUGAAUUUCCCCAAUUUCAAGGGACAAUGGCUGCGGCUCUCUUUGCAAUUUCUGGUGGGUUUAGUUCAUCAAUUAUGAACUAAUUUUCCAAUUCUAGUCAAGGAGCAACGAAGCCUUUGGUUCGCCUAAAAAUUGUGAGAUCGAUUUAAUUUAAUCUUUUCCUUUUAUUUAUUGGUAUUCGCAUAUUUCCUGGUUACAGUGCUUAUGAUUGUUUAAUUAAUUGAUUGUCUUGGAUCCGGAUAAUUAGUUAAUUUGGUAAUCUAUUGUCAAUUGGGACGUUAAAUCCGUAAUUGUUUAAUUGUCUCAAAAUAGUGAUAACUGGCAUGAUUAGGUUUGUGUCAGGGGAAUACGCGGGCUAAUCUAAAAUAACCCUGGUAGUGCGUUAUUUGGUUAGAAUAGGGCUCCUUUAAUACGUAAGGCAAUUGGGGAAUUAAAUUCUAUGGGCGUACCUAGGAUUAUUUCUCAAUUAGAGCAGUGAUUAACGGGCGUACCUUGAUCACCGACACAGUAAGGAGGGGUUGACUGUCAUCGCUUGCUUGGCAGUUAUAACCUAUUUAUUGAUAAAUAAUUGGAAUUGCCUUUGCUUAUCGAUGAUCAAUUAGGUGAACCAUUGUUGAAGUUAUUUCUUGGCUAGAUCCUUAAUUAUCACUCAUUAGAUUUUAGUAAUUUGUUAUUUAAUUUCUAGUUGGUUAUUUUAUUUUUAUUUUUAUUAUUUUACUUUUAGUUGAAUUGUUUAAAUUGUCACCCCUGAGAUAAAAACACCCCCCAUGUCACUGUGAAUUUGGAAAGGAACAAUUACUCCCAGUCCCUGUGGAUUCGACCCUGCUUACCACUAUCUACAGAAAUUAACUUUAGUUUGAGCAGGUUUUAUUAUUGCACAGGCUGACGACCUGUCAAUUUUUGACGCCGUUGCCGGGGACUGGUGCCAGAUUAAUUUGUUUCUUUUUGAGUUUAUCUUGUUUUCAUUUUUUUUAUUUUAUUUUUCUCUUUUUUUUUAUUUUUUAUGGCUGCUAACAUUCCAUAUUUUGAUGAUAGACUGGACUUUGUUCCUAAAUGGGGUUAUGAGACUCAUGUUUUUCCUAAUGAUCAAUGGGCUGUUGCAAAUUGUGGAACUUAUUUUGAUUCAGGUUAUUCAACUGACACAUGCCCCGCAUUUCAAGAUAAUUUAAGCGCUCCAAUUGAUACUUUUGGAGAUUUUCCAUCUCGAUUUCAAACGUGGUAUGACCCUUAUUCAAACGGGUAUGAUCAAGGAUGGUGGGAUAAUUCCAAUUUUGAUUAUGCGACCGGGCCAAUGGAUUUUCAACAGCAAGAGUCUCAGCAAUCAUCCUCCGUGUCAGGUAUGUCUCUUGAAGAAAUGAUGGGAUUACUAAUUGCUAAUACAAAUCGAUUUCAUCAGGAGACACAAGCGAGUCUAAAUCGAUUUCAUCAGAAGACACAAGCGAGCCUUCGCGACCUGGCGGAUCAAAUGCGUCAAUUGACAUCCAGGAUAGAGCGAUUAGCUUCUCACCUUGAAGAAUUGCCCUCACAAACCAAUAUCAAUCUUGAAGGAGAUGAGAGUGCAAUUAUCCGGCCAAAUGACAUGGAACUGCAAGAGUUUCAAGGAAACGGAUUUAAAGAUGCAGUUGAAAAGGAAGUUGAAGUGCAAAAAAUGAGACUCCAGGAUCAACUCAUUAAAGUGAAUGAAUCCAGUGAACAAUCUCCAAAUGCGGUGACAUCCCCUCCACUCUUUCAUCACUAUUCUCCUGACUCUUACUUCUCAAUUCCUGUUAAUGAAAUUGACUUUAUUAUACCAGACAAUUUUGAAUUUCAUGACAGGAAUAAAUUAAGAGUGGCGAUGGCGAGAUAUCUUGAACCAAUAAAUGCAAAUGAGGGAGAAGUGAAUGGAGAAUGCAAAUUAUCAUCGACUCGUUUGGCGCCAUUCACUAGUCCAUGGAAGCCCGUAGCUGGUAUGCUCAAGGAUUAUUCUAUUUACGAGGGUUAUCAGGACUAUAUAGAGGAUGAAGCAUUAAAAUGAGCCACACGAUUUUAUCCUCCAUGAACAAAACAUGAUAAUGUCUAGCCAAAGACAUUAAAGAAAGGCGCUCAUUGGGAGGCAACCCAAUUUCUUUUAGUUGUUUGUUUGAUUUUAUUUGUUAGUUUAAAUCUGUCUUCCUUGAAUUUGACUAAUUUUGGGUGUUAAUUUUCGUUUUACUGAUUUAUAGGUGCCCUUCAGUCAUGGCGUGCCCGCGUGGUUAUGUGCAGGAAGCUCACGAUCAGAAACUUCUGGGAGCUCUCUUGCCCUCAUGAUGUGCCCGCGUGGUGAUGUGCAGGAAGCUCACGACCAGAAACUUCUGGGAGCUCUCUUGCUCUCUUGACGUGCCCGCGUCACGUUCGCGGGAAAGGUAAAUAUUCAAAGAAACUCAAGAACGAUUAUUGAUUUCCGGUUAAUCACUACUUUUGAAUUUCAAAAAUAAAUUUUGUCAAUAAUAAAAAAAAAAGAGAUGAUAUAUGAAAAAAAAAUUUCCACCAAAAAAAAAAAAAGAAAUAAAAGAGAGGGGGAGUCUUUCCCUGAAAAAAAAAUCUAAAAUGAAAAAAAAAUGAAAAAGCAAAAAAAAAAAAAUUUCCUCUUUUUCACCGUAGCUCAGUUUUCCUUAAAAAAAAAAAAAUUCCUUUUUCCUUCUUUUUCUUUUCUUUCUUUUCUUUCUUCUUCUUUCUUUCUUCCUUCUCCCCUAUUCCUUCUGUGUCGGCCGAAGCCCGCACGCCACCAUGGCUGCGCGCCGCAGCCUGCUGCGCCGCGCACUCCACCUCUCCACUUCACAGUCGCGACCAUCUCUUCUCUCCCCUCGCACCAGCGACGACCACCAUCGCGUGACGCCACCCUCACCGCUACUGGAGCUCGCGCACCUCUGCCCAGCAAGCAGCGCCACCACAGCUCCGCGCCCAUCUCCCUCGCUCAACCCCACGCCACCUCCGUAGCAGCAGCUCUCACCUCACGGAACCCGGGUUGAGCUCGCCGCGAUUGCCACCGGCCGCUGCCCGCCGCCUCUCUGCUGAGGUCGCUCGCCGCGGCUAUUUUCUUCCUCCGCUGCGCAGUCCACCAGUGCUCCACCUUCGGCUUCAGCUCGGUCUCCACAGUCGUCGCAUGCCACCCGCUGCUGCCCCCUUUCAUUUGGGUUGUCGUCCAAGGUGGAGGUAAUUGGAACUUGUCCCCCAUUUUCUUAAUAACUAAUUGGUGCUGCCUGGGUUGCUCAAUAGUUAAUGUUGUUGACGAUUGAAGUUUAUUUUCUCAAUUGGUGAAUUCCACCAGUGGUACUGGUCGGACUAUUUUCGCUUGGAAUUGCUAUUUCUUUUGGGUUGGGUGAAAUUGUGCAAUUAAUUGGCCAACUGGAGCCAUUUGUUGGGAUUUUGGGUGAGUUGAAAUACUGCAACUGUCUAGUGACAUUUGGGCGAUUUGAUUCUGCUUUUGCAUGUUGAAUUGGAAUAUCUGGCCGCUUGUUUUACUUGUGAGAUUGGUAGCAUUUAUUAAUUAUGGAAGACAUCCUGGUGAUUGGUUAAUAUUGCUAUUUUGGGACCAUUGUUUGUGACCUCAGUGGUCGGGGUUCCUAACUGGUGGAUUAGUACAUACUUGGCACAAUCGAAUUUAGGUUAGGAGUCAAGAGGUUAAAGUGAGUAAUGUGAGUAUGAAUCCUUAGUAUGUGAGUAAUGAAUCCUUAGUAUCAUUCCCUUUCACAUGUGUGGUUAUGUGAGUAAUGAAUCCUUAGUAUCAUGCCCUUUCACAUGUGUGGUUAUGUGAGUAAUGAAUCCUUAGAAUCACCAGUUAUAAUGAAUCCUUAUGCACAUUUAAUUGACUUAAUAUUUCGUACCCACAGAUAAUCAAAGAUAUAACUGGGUGAUUCACGAGUUGGUAGAGUGUUUCUAAAUGAUAGUUGCACCUCUUCAUCACAUGAUUCUGGUUGCUGAUCAGAAUCCAAUCUUCUUCCAAUAGCUUCGUUUGGUUCAGAUUGUGUCUUUCUUGUGCCUUUCAAUCUUUACAAUUUAAUAAUUUGUUUCUUAGAUUAAUAGAGUGCAAGAAAGACAAACAGAUAAUAGAGUAAAUUAAAACUCAAGACAAAAGACCCAUAUUUUGGAUAGAGUGCAAGAAGAUAUGGUACUCUAUUAUAUAUCUGAUAGUAACAACGGAAUUGAUAGGGUCUUAAUUUGGCCAGGUCACGUGAAACCACAAUAUAUAUAUACAAUAUAUAUAUAUAUAUAUAUAUUUUUUUUUUAUUUUCAAGUACAUGUUUUGUGAGACUAUGAGCCGGUUUAGAUUGUAACUUUUGGGAAUUUUUACAGAAAAUAUAAAUCGCAUCUACAAAAAAAAAAUUAAUCAAAGAUAUAAUUGGUGAUUCAUGAGUGGAUAAAAGAAUUGAGUGUUUCCCAAUUGAUAAAGGAUAGAGUUUUUCUUAUGUAGUAGCUGGACUUCUUGCUCGCAUAAUUGUGGCUGUCCAUCUCUUUGAUUUGGAUUCCGAUCUUAUUCAAAUACUUUUGGAGGGGUAUCCUAUAUUUAGAGUGUCAAUCACAAACUUCAUUAUGUUGAUUCGUCCAAAAUCGCUCCCCAAUAACCCGUUCAAACCCACCCACUAAUUUGAAAUAGAUUUAAAUGGAUAUUCAAUUAAACUCAUUUAAUUAAUAGAUAGUAGAUUAACUCGAAUCAUUUAAACUCAAAUAUUAAACAAAUAAUUUGAAUUUAUUAUCAAUCUAAUAACAAUAAGAUGCCAUUAUUUUUUAUCAGACAACAUGUAAAAAAAAUAAAAAAAUAAAUUAUAACCAUUUAAAUUCAUUUAAAUCACUUAUUUUGACACCUCACCACUUGUUCAGCCGUUCCUUUCUUCCAUGCCGUCGCCAGUGUCUGUCAUUUCCGAUUAUCAGGUAAGGCUCUGACAUUAGUGUCCACCUGCCAUCGUGCGAUCCCAUUGAUUAACCAAGUUACAGCGCUGUCAUAUUUGUCAAGCCAUCCUUCAUUAUUGGAUCUUUUAUUCUAUAUAUGGGACCGUCCUUACUGUUCCCAUGAAAGAUUGGUUCAGAAAUGUAUGGCAGCUGUGAAAUACGUUAGCUCUCUGAAUCUUGUCCCAUAAAGAUAUGUAGCUGAAAAUCCGAACGCAUUGGUUUCACGAGAGUUUUCUUAUCCACCGUGCCUGCCAAUUUUCUAUCACCAUAUAACAGCGUUUUUAAACCAUACGGACUGACCGAUUCUAAACAUUGAACCGAGGGUCCGGUGGUUCAGUCCGAGUUAAACAAUUGAGUUGAACAGACAUUUACUGGACCUGCUCAGAAAUUGGGUUUAAAUAAAGAAAAUUGAGUUUUUAACUAUAUAUUUUGUGAGACUAUGAGCUGGUUUAGAUUGUAAUUAUUGGGAAGUUUUAUAGAAAAUAAUUGUAUGGUGUUUCCUAAUUGAUGAAGGAUAUAGUUUUUCUUAUGUAGUGGCUGCACCUCUUGAUCACAUGAUUCUGGUGGUUAUCGAUCUCUUGGAUUUGGAUUCUAAUCUUAUUCAAACAUUUUUUAUUCUUUCAGAUUAUGUCUUUCUUGUGCAUUUCAAUCUUUGUAAUUUAUCAAUUAUUUCUUAGAUUGGAUUUUGAUUCUUUUAGACUAUGUCUUUCUUGUGCAUUUCAAUCUUUACAAUUUAAUAAUUGUUUCUUAGAUUGGAUUUACAUGUUUAGUUCUAAAGUGGUCCCAUGAUCUCGCUUCGAGGUCUUCCAAGUUGUAUUUCUAGUUGAUUUCGGGUAUUUAGGAAUUUCAUAUUUUAUUACACCAUUUUUUAACUCAAUAAAAUCAUAUUUCAACUUUUGUCACACUAUUUUCCAACUCAAUUACAUUAAAAGCAAACUUGUGAGAAAUAAAACUUGUGAUACCCCAUCAACCCCUGCUCCUAUUAAUAUUACACAUGUAGAUUAUAUUUUAAAAGGAAAAUUGCCAAAUUGGUCCCUUAAGUUUUCAGAAAAAAACUUUUUUUAGUCCAUCAAAAUUAGAAUUAGUUAAAAUAGUCCAUCAAAUAUAACGCAAGAAAAGUAUCCUUUUAGUCCGCAAGCUCAUUUUUUGAUCGGUUUUCUAGUCAAAAAGUGUGUGCCUUUCUUAGGCACCCACAAUUUAUUAUGUGCAAUAAUGGUUUCUGGAUAUAGAUUCUUACAUUUCUGAUUGUUGAUCACAUGAUUUGGAUUCUGUAUUCAAAUUGUGAAACUAUUGUUUAGCAAGAUGUGUCAGUAUUGUUUAGCAAGAUAUAAUUGAUCACAAGAUGUGAAACUACCACAUACGACAAUACCCAAUUGUUUAGCAAAUCAAGCAUAAGGUUCAGACAAGUAUCAGGGUAUUAAUAGGUCCUCUAUAUUAUUUAUUUGCAGCUGGUGCCAAAUGACACUACUUAAGACUUGGAGGAAAAAUAUGAUUGCCGAAGAAUCGUUAUCAGAAUCAAAUUGUACCUUAAAUACAACUUUUUUGGAUUCUGUUAAGUUUGCAGCGAGGUGGAGAAGACCUCAAUUACAUACAAGCAAUUAACAGCAGAAGAAACAUAGCUUUAAUAUCUGAUUCUAGUAAUGGUUUCUGGCAAAGAAUACGUUGUCCUUCACGAGUAAUGUUUCUAGAAACAAUCUUUAUAUUUUUAGUGUUUAAAAUAGCUUCAAGAACACGGCAAAAGUAAACUUUGCUUUAUGGACUGAUGAGUAAACACUAUAAGAUGAUGGGUAAACAUCAACACUAUAUGUCUGGAAAGAGAGGAAUUACAUAAUUUUUAGCAACGAGGUUACCAAAAUGCUUCAGCUUAUGCUUCAUGCUAAGCUGCCAUAAAACUUUCCAUCCUUUUGCAUUUGCCUCAUUCCUACUUCCUGAAUCCUCCUGAUGAGACCUCCUCCGAUAAGGAGAAAAUUAGUUGAUUGUAAAGAUUAGGUUCUACAUUGGUCAAAGUCUCAAAGAUAAAGAUGAUAAACUUUGCCACUGGAUAAUGCCUAAUUGGCCGUAACAAAUGAAGUUAAGGUGCUUGAAGGUGACGCACUAGUGAAACCAUGCAUUCCAGGGAUAAGAAUUAAACUUGGAAAUCUGAAAGAUUACUAAAGAAUAAAUAUUAGAAUCAAUAAUAUUAAAAAAAAAAUUUCCAAAUCAAAUCAAAAUUAUUGAAAAUUGACCAAAGCUCAAAUCCAAAUCAAAUAAAUCCUUACACGUUAAACCCACGAGAAACCUGUUAUCAAGAGGUGCAAUUACCACUUGAUAAAACUCCAAUGUAGCUAUCACCUCGUGGAUCACACAUAUAUUGGGUCCUCUUAAUUAUUUUCAGUUGGUACGAAAUCAUUCAGAUAUGAUUUCCGUGACAAAUUUUGAGUGUAACGCAAUAUUCACCUCAACCAAUUGAGACAUUGUCUGAUAACCAUGAAAUUUGACUCUCCAAUUCUUGGGUUUUGCCUCUCUCUUUAUAAGGUGUAGAAUGUGGGUUUUCUUUCGAAUGAACCUGGUUCUAAAGAAUGCUAACUGGUUGACAAUUGCGGAAGUUUUUGUGCAUAUCUGUACCAUGAAGCCAAUCAAAAUGUGAAUGGACUAGACAUAAAGGGCAGUAGUUUAAAAUUUGUAGUGAAAUUAACUUAAUUACCUCAAUGGAAUUGAACUGAAAAAUGCAAUUUUCUAUUCAGACAAAAUUCAUAAGUUCUAAGUUCAUUAAGAAAGAUCAAUGCCUGUCAUAUUAAUGCAAAAUUAUUGAUAACAACAAGAAGGAUACUUUUAGAGAUGAUAUAGUCUAGAGUCCAUGCAUCUAACCCACUCUCUUGACAUAGAUCGGAGUUCAGUGAGCGUUAAACUCAAGUCUAUUGGCCAAAAAAAGGAAAAAAAAAAAAGACUCAAGUCUAUUCAAAAAACCAAAGAUUGGACUCCAAAUCAGUGAUGUCGAAUUGAUUAUCCACGGACGCUAAAACCGCCAGAAACAAGUCAUCAAGAGGUGAAACUACCACAUACGACAAUACCCAAUUGUUUAGCAAAUCAAGGAUAAGGAUCAGACAAGUAUCAGGGUAUUAAUAGUCCUCUAUAUUAUUUAUUUACAGCUGGUACGAAGUCAAUUAAUCAGAGAUACCCACCAAAUGACACAACUUAAGACUUGAAGGAAAAAUAUGAUUGCUGAAGAAUCGUUAUCAGAAUCAAAUCAUUGUGCCUUAAAUACAACUUUUUUGGAUUCGGUUAGGUUUGUGAUAGGGUGUAAAUUGUUGGUUAUUUUAUUGUUAAUUUCCCCUUUUAUCCUUGUCAAAUAUUGUUUUAAUUAUUAAUAUUUACUUAUAUUUGGUAUUGGACCCAAUUUCAGGGAUUGAAGCAGAAAAUUACCAAAAAGGAGGGACUUGUAUGGAAAAAUGCAGACUUCUAAGGACUUCAACCUUUGGGUCCUUGAAUUGGUGGGGACCACAAGCUAGUGCAAGGCAUUUAGUCAUUUGGACUUUUCAAAGAGAGCAACGUAGAGAGAUUUGGAACAACAAGUACUUUGGAGGCUUUGUCCACAUGUGCGGGGACCACGGAUAAGAAGCAUGAGUCAUUUGGACUCUAGGAAAAGAAACGUACAAGACUUUGAAUUUGGUGUGGGGACCACUAGAGAUAGCAUUAGACUUCCUUUUGGCUUUAAAAAGGGAGAAACGUACGGGAGGUUAUCAAUCAAUAGUUUAGUUUAGGUUUUUAGCAUAGUUUUAGUUUUUCUUUUCUUAGCUCUUUCGCAUGGUUGUUCUCCAUUAAUGGAGAACUAACCUCUUAAUUCUAGUCAAGGGGACAACUGAAGAUUUGGUUCAACAAUUACUGUGAGAUCGAAUCUGUUUUAAUUAUUUUCUUCAUUUAUUGGUAUUUAUAUGUUCCUUGAUUUUAAUUGCUAUGGCCUUGUGUAUGAUUGAUUAGUGCGCAAUAAUUAAUUAUUCAUAUAGGCUAUUUUGCUAAAUAGAGGUAAUUGAAUCCGUAAUUGUUCGUUAUCUCUAUCUUAGUAGCAACUGGCGUAAUUGGGUUUAUGUCAGGGGAGCAUACGAUCUAGCUUAAACAAACCCUCGUAGCGUGUUUGUUAGUUAGGAUUGGGCCUUUCUAAUUAAUAAUGCAACCUAAGAAUUAAAUCCUACGGUCGUACUUAGGGUUGUUUUUGGGUUAGAGAAAUAGCUAACGGUCAUACCUUAGCUAUCGAUAAAUUAAUGAAGGGUUGGUUGUUUAUCGCGUGCAUGACAACUAUAACCAAUCUAUUAAUAAAUGUUGGGAUUAUUUUUGCAUCAAUGAUCAGUGCAUGAACCAUUUCUGAAGUAUACCCUUGGCUAAAGUUUCUCUUAGUUAUUUCUUUUAAUUAAUUAUUUUCUGCAGUUAAUUUAUUUAGUUAGCUUUUAAUCCAAAACCCCCCAUACUUUGGACUCUAGAAGAAACGAAUUAUCCCCAGUCUCUGUGGAUUCGACCCUACUCAUCGCUAUAUACAAAAUCUGUAUUUUUCUCGAGUAGGUAUUUAUUAUUGCACAGGUUCGGCACCUGUCAAUUUUUGGCGCCGUUGCCGGGGACUGGUGUCAGAUUAAUUUGUUUCUUUUUUAAGUUCACCUUGUUUUCAUUUUUAACUUAUUUCUCUUAUUUUUUUUAUUAUAUAGUUCAUGGCUUCUAACACUCCGUAUUUUGGUGAUAUACUGGAUUUUGUUUUCGGGGAAGGCAAUGAGACUGAUUGUUUUUCUAAGUUUGCAUAUUUAGAGGCAAUAAACUCUAUUAAAAAAAGAAUGGCUGCUGCAACCUGUGAAAUUUGUUAUGCCAGGGAUCAUUCAACCGGUAUGUGCCCCGAAUAUCAAGAUGAUCUGAGUGUCCCAUUCAAUAAUUAUGGAGAUUUUUCACCCUGGUCUCAAACGUGGUAUAACCCUAAUCCAAACGGGUAUGAUCAAGGAUGGUGGGAUAACUCCAGUUAUGAUUAUACAACAGGGCCAAUGAAUUUUCAGCAGUAUGAGUCUCAAGAACCGUCAUCCAUGUCAGGUAUGUCUCUUGAAGAAAUAGUUGAAUUAAUAGCUACUAGCACAUAUCAAAUUCAACAGGAGGUACAUCAGUUUCAACAGGAGACACAAAAGAUGAGUGAAGAGAUGAAAGAAGGAAGGCGUGAAUGGGCAUCUAAAAUGAGCAAAUUGAUUUCUCCAGUUUAUGAAGAAUUGCCUUCACCGACUAUUAUCGACCAUGAGGAAGAUGAGAGUGCAAUUAUUCUGACAAUUGACAUGGUACUGCAAGGGUCUCAAGAAGAAGAAUCUAAAGAUGCAGUUGAAAAGAAAGUUGAAGCGCAAGAAUUGAGACCCCAACAUCAAAUAGUUCAAGUGAAUGAAUCCAGUGAACAAUCUCCAAAUGCGGUGACAUCUCCUCCAUUCCUUGAUCAAUAUUUUCCUGACUCUUAUUCUUUAAUUCCUGUUGGUGAGAUUGAUUUUAUUAUACCAGAAAAUUUUGAGUUUCAUGACAGGAACAAGUCAAGAGUCACGAUGGCAAAAUAUCUCAAACCAAUAAGUGCUUGUGAUGGAGGGGUGAAUGAAGAUUUAAGGUCAUUACUUGGUUGUUUGGCGCCAUCUACUAGUCCAUGGAAGACCGUAGCUCGUGUGCUCAAAAAUUACUCUACUUACGAGGGCUAUCAAGAUUACAUAGAGGAUGAAGCACUAAAGCGAGCUACGCGAUUUUAUCCUCCAUGAAUAAACAGGACAAUGUCUAGCCAAAGACAUUAAAGAAAGGCGCUACUUGGGAGGCAACCCAAGACUAUUUGUUUCAGUUUUCAUGCAUUUUUGAAGUUUUAGUUAAGUGUUAGUGUCAAUUAAUAGUUUGAUGUUUGGUGGCAGGAAAUUAGCAGUUAGAUGUGCCCACGCCAGGCGGUCACGCCUGAGGGAAAGAAAUUUUCGUUCAGGAUCUGCGGAUUCUAUAGCAGUUAGACGUGCCCACGCCAGGUGGUCACACUUGAGGGAAAGGAAUUUUCGUUCAGGAUCUGCGGACUCUAUAGCAGUUAGACGUGCACGCCUAGGCCAGAGGUUCCUUAUUCUAAAAAAAAAAAAGAGAGAAAAAAAUUUUACAAAAGCAAUUUCAAUUUUUGGAGAAUUUCGGUAAGACUAGUUAAAAAAAAAAACCAUUUUAUUUUAUUUUUCCUCUUUUCUUCUUUCUUUUCUUUCCUUCUUUCUUUCUUCCCUUUUCUUCUUCUUCUCCGCCGCUCCCCUGUUUCCCUCUGUUUCUUCUUUUUCUUUCACGCCGCCUGCCGCUACCACCUCACCCACGCAGCUCGAGUCGCCCAAGCUCCCUUGCGGCCAGGAGUUUCGUAGCACGCAGCUUCACCUCACGGUCCACCGCCAUCUUGCGGCCAAGGCCCGCCGCUGGUCCCCUCUCUUCCAUCGCCAAAUCCACGCUGCACGCCGCCCGUGAGCCAAGCCGACAGCGCGCAGCCCAGCCCGCGCCGCUGCUGCUCUCCACCAGCUUGCCGCCGCCUCUCCCUCAGCUCAAUCCCCCGCCAACAGUCUCCAUCAGCUCGCGACCGCCGCUGCACCGCCACCCUCCACCACGAGCAGCUUCACCUCGCGGCCAGGAGCUGCCACGAGCCCUACAGCGCCGCGCCAGCUUGCAGCGCAGCCCACGUCAAUCGUCCGCCCCCGCUGCUGUCGACCUCCAUCAGCACCACCACCUGAGCCGCACGGGACUCCUGUCUUUGCCGGCCUCUCCUGCAACCGCGCACAUCUCCUCCAUUGCCGCGCGUCACCACCUGCCCAAAAUUGGCAGGUGGAGGUAUUCGAAUUUCCACCUUGAUUAGUAUUUCUCUAGUCCUUAAAUUGCUGGAAUUUGCGUUCUUGUUUCUUGGGCUUCUUGUUGGAAAACAGCAGGCAGUGAUUUUAGACAUUUUCUGGGGCUAAUUUUGGGUAGAAUUGAGUUAAACUGCUGCGAUAUUUGGGGGUACUUUGGGAGUAAGUUGCCAAUUGCUUCUGGCUUUAAUUUCCGCUCAUUUUUGGCACUACUUGGGUGUUCAAAUCUAUUUCGUUUACUAUGUUAGUUAUUUGCUUUAAUUUCUCCCUAUACACUCACCAGUGGUACUGGUGAUAGUAGUUGUUUAACAUCUGAUAAUCUGUGUUCUGGAUUGCCUAAUUAAACGAGUUGUGACUACUGGGCAUUUGUGAUUGAGUCCAUCCUGUGAUUGAGUGUCUGGAUAAAGCAGUGGGUGCUUUAGGCAUUUUCUGGGGGAACUUUUGGGACAGAUUUGGGUUUAAUUGCUGCCAAAGUGGGGGUAUUUUCUGCUAUUUGUUGAAAAGCUGGCCUUUUGAUUACUUUUUCCCUGCGACUCACCAGUGGUACUGGUUGAGGUCUUUUGCCUAUCGUUGUGGCUUAUAUUUGAAGAUAUUUGCUUAUUUUGAAGUUAAGGUUCUUGCAUUUGAGUUGCUGCUAUUGAAUUUAAUUCUUUCCUGUCUGUGCACCAGUGGUACUGGUUGCAGUGUUGCUUUCCAUUUCUUAAUCCUCUGUGCUGGACUGCCUAUUCGAUUCUUGAGUUUUGGUGCCUGAACUGUCUCUCGAUUCUUACCAUUAGUUGCUGGAAUUACUGGUUUCUUGGCCAAAUUGCUAAUUUUGAGCGUUUGACUUGGGUAUUUGACUGUCCAACUGGUGACAUUUAUUGCGCUUCAAUCAAUUGAAUUCAUUUGCUCUGUUGGUAUCCCUGUCGGUAUCACUUGAGUUCUAUUUUGCUAGUUUCUGUCUUGCGUCCUUUGAAGUGCCUUUGGUUGGGUAUUUUCUUCAUUUGUUUGUUGAAUUGGAAGGCUACUGUGCCACUUCCAUUGCUUAUUGCAGUUGGUGGCGUCUAAUUGACUUGCUGGGAGUAUUUUACCUAUUGAUUUCAAUUGCUAAAUCUUUAGAGAAUUUGUUGCGAUUUGCAUUUUGUUGAUUGGGUUGUCUACUAGGAAGGCACCAGUGGCUAUUAAAUUUUUAUUGCUUUGAAUUUGCUAAGUGGCCUCUCCCACCGAUGGCCUCUGAUGCUAAGUGGCGCCACUUGCAAGAUCAGGUUCACCACGCGGAUGAGCAAGUAACGCAUAUCGCCAGCCAGAUGGCUCCAAUGUCUAAGAACCUGGCCGCGUACUUCCACCAUAUCUGCUUCACUCCCCCGUUCCUGCCUAUUCCGUAGCCGCUUGAGAGGGAAGUUUCAUUUUUCUCUUCAUUUUAAUUGCUAUAUUACCUCCAUCGAGGGCAAUGUCGGACUUAGGUGUGGGGGGGACAGCUGUGGUACAGCUAGUAUUUCUAAUUUUUAGUUUUUACAUGUUUUCCUUUAUUUUUGUUAUUUGUUCUAGUUUUCGUUUAUUUUCUUUUCUUUUUUCUAGUGGUCAGUCUUCUAUAACUACCAAGUUUUGAUGCUGGAUUGUUGCCUCUAAUUCUGCUAUUGCCAAGUUUUAUUAAUAAAAGGGUAUUAAGUUAAUGUGGUUGAGCUCAGGAACAUCUCUUUGGUGAAUAUCAAUACUUGCUUAACUUUUCCAAUUUUUGGUUAACUUUUCUAGGCAUAGGGAAUGAUUGUUGGCAUUCUUCAUGUGAAUUGGUCCAAUUAUUAAUUUUAGUUCUCCAUGUUUGAAAUUUGAGGCUGGCUGCUGUUAUUUUUAGUUAUUGUGCUAUAUGAUUGUAAAUAAGAGGUGACUGUACUCCGCUAGUUAUCACUACUGAGUAACCGGGGAUCUUCACCUAAACUGUCGAUUCUCGCGUCAAAAGGUAGUAAUUGCUAUGAGUGCGUGGUCCUGUAGCGAUUAGAGCUGAAUAACCGGGCUCCUCCAUCUGUCAAAUGUUGGAGUUCGCGUCAAAAGGCUCUAAGGGCUAUAGACUAAGUCUUUUGCUAUUCAAAAAACAAAAAACAAAAAACAAAAAACAAAAAACAAAAAAAGAAGUGAAGUAAAGAUUGUGUUAGUAUGUGAAUAAAUCAGCUUGCCGGUUUGUGAUCUUAAUGUCGAGAUUUUGGUUAAUAGUUGGACCAUUUGCUGAUAAAUGUGAGCAACCAUUCCUUCUUCUUAGAUUAGUUUGCUUUAAAUUGGAGAAGUUGGUGGUUUAGAGGCUAACCGGGUUGAUUUUUCUUGGAUAUUGACCUGUGAUGCUUGAUAUUUAUUUUUCUUGGGCAUCUUGGCAAUACGGUAGUUGGAGCAGUAGCCAUUGUCAAAUUUUGGUGUUCAAUUGCUGUUCCCAUGCUUGAGGGCAAGCAUGAUUCAGGUGUGGGGGGAAUUGAUAGGGUGUAAAUUGUUGGUUAUUUUAUUGUUAAUUUCCCCUUUUAUCCUUGCCAAAUAUUGUUUUAAUUAUUAAUAUUUACUUAUAUUUGGUAUUGGACCCAAUUUCAGGGAUUGAAGCAGAAAAUUACCAAAAAGGAGGGACUUGUAUGGAAAAAUGCAGACUUCUAAGGACUUCAACCUUUGGGUCCUUGAAUUGGUGGGGACCACAAGCUAGUGCAAGGCAUUUAGUCAUUUGGGCUUUUCAAAGAGAGCAACGUAGAGAGAUUUGGAACAACAAGUACUUUGGAGGCUUUGUCCACAUGUGCGGGGACCACGGAUAAGAAGCAUGAGUCAUUUGGACUCUAGGAAAAGAAACGUACAAGACUUUGAAUUUGGUGUGGGGACCACUAGAGAUAGCAUUAGACUUCCUUUUGGCUUUAAAAAGGGAGAAACGUACGGGAGGUUAUCAAUCAAUAGUUUAGUUUAGGUUUUUAGCAUAGUUUUAGUUUUUCUUUUCUUAGCUCUUUCGCAUGGUUGUUCUCCAUUAAUGGAGAACUAACCUCUUAAUUCUAGUCAAGGGGACAACUGAAGAUUUGGUUCAACAAUUACUGUGAGAUCGAAUCUGUUUUAAUUAUUUUCUUCAUUUAUUGGUAUUUAUAUGUUCCUUGAUUUUAAUUGUUAUGGCCUUGUGUAUGAUUGAUUAGUGCGCAAUAAUUAAUUAUUCAUAUAGGCUAUUUUGCUAAAUAGAGGUAAUUGAAUCCGUAAUUGUUCGUUAUCUCUAUCUUAGUAGCAACUGGCGUAAUUGGGUUUAUGUCAGGGGAGCAUACGAUCUAGCUUAAACAAACCCUCGUAGCGUGUUUGUUAGUUAGGAUUGGGCCUUUCUAAUUAAUAAUGCAACCUAAGAAUUAAAUCCUACGGUCGUACUUAGGGUUGUUUUUGGGUUAGAGAAAUAGCUAACGGUCGUACCUUAGCUAUCGAUAAAUUAAUGAAGGGUUGGUUGUUUAUCGCGUGCAUGACAACUAUAACCAAUCUAUUAAUAAAUGUUGGGAUUAUUUUUGCAUCAAUGAUCAGUGCAUGAACCAUUUCUGAAGUAUAUCCUUGGCUAGAGUUUCUCUUAGUUAUUUCUUUUAAUUAAUUAUUUUCUGCAGUUAAUUUAUUUAGUUAGCUUUUAAUCCAAAACCCCCCAUACUUUGGACUCUAGAAGAAACGAAUUAUCCCCAAUCUCUGUGGAUUCGACCCUACUCACCGCUAUAUACAAAAUCUGUAUUUUUCUCGAAUAGGUAUUUAUUAUUGCACGGGUUCGGCACCUGUCAGUUUGCAUCGAGGUGGAGAAGAUCUCAAUUACAUACAAGCAAUUAACAGCAGAAGAAACAUAGCUUUAAUAUCUGAUUCUAGUAAUGGUUUCUGGCAAAGAAUACGUUGUCCUUCACGAGUAAUGUUUCUAGAAACAAUCUUCAUAUUUUUUGUGUUUAAAAUAACUUGAAGAAUACGGCAAAAGUAAACUUUGGUUUGUGGACUGAUGAGUAAACACUAUGAAAUGAUGAGUAAAUAUCAACACUAUAUGUCUGGAAAGAGAGGAAUUACAUUUUUUUAGCAACAAGGUUACUAAAAUUGGGGGUUAUUAUAACUUUAUCCCUUUAAACUAUAGUGCUAAUAUCAAUUUACCUUUUUAACAUUAUUUUGCAGGCAUUUGACCUCGCAGUUAUUCUCCUUUUUCAUUCUAAGAGGACCAAGAAAAAAUGCAAAAGGGUUCCCUUUUUUUUUCAUUCUCAACUAUUAAGAAAAAAAAAGAAAUUGAAUAGAGGUUGACAGAAAACUCAAUUUCAGAAAAAAGGAAAAUAAAGAAGAAUCCAAUAUUAUAAUUAAUUUAAAAUAAGUUAGAGUGGGCGGUAGGGGUGAAGAGUAAGUAGCAAUUUUAAAAUAAUAAGCACAUUGGAUUCUUUAUUAUUUUUAUUUUCUUUUUUUAAAAUUGAGUUAUCUCUCUAUUUUCUUAUUUUAAGUAUUGAUAAGUACACGAGGAAAAAAAGAAGAAGACAUUUUUUUUUGACUUUUUCCCCUUGUUAUUAAAGAGGGUGGAAAAAAGGGAGAAGACACUUUUUUAUUUUUUUUCUUGGUAUUAAAAGGGUGAAAAAGGGGGAAAAAACCAUUCCAAUUUUUUUUUAUUUUUAAUCAUACAGGAGAGGGAUGUAUUUCUUCUAAAAUAUUAGGUAAAUUAUAUAUAAUUUUCUGUAUUUUCAUCUAUUGCCACAUGAUCUCCAAAACAUUUUAGGGUUAUAUGCAGCUGAUGUAAGGGAAAAAAUUCAUAUUAAUACCUCAAAUUUCCCUUAAGGAGUUUUUAUAUUUAAAUCAAAUUAUUCAAUGAAUAUAUUUUUGUUUUUCUCCUAGUCUUAAAGAGUCUUGCCACAGGCCUAAAUCAUUUCCGCUAUAUUGCUUUGGCCAAAUUUACAAUCGUAUAUUUGUGUUUGUAGCCGUUGAUUGAACUUUGGUCUUAGGAAAAAUGAUAACAAAUGGAAAGAGUGAGAUACAAGUCAAUUAAAAAACAUGAUUAACACUAGAAUUUGUGAGACAUGGAGACUUGGAUUAUAAAAAGGAUAAGAAAACUUGAAUAGGUGAAAAAGGGUGGAUUAAAACUAUACGAAAGAAGUAGCAUAACAGUGAUAUAGCAUUUGGUGAUGGGAAGAUUCUUGGUGAUGUGUUUUUUAAGUUUGAUAGGCAUUUUAUUACUUUUGGGAAGAUUAUUAUAAUCAUUUUGAGUCCUUAACAAAAGCACGGAAGUGUAAUAUUUGAAUAUAGAGGUGGGCAACAUGAGAUUAUUAGAAAUCUUAGAAGAAGUUUUUGAAAAUAUCCUUUGCUGUAAUACUAUUCUUUUUUUUUUUCCUACCUUGUGAUUAUUGAUUUCCACAUUCACACUCAAAAUGCUAAGGCAAAAAGCAAAAUUCAAGGAUGAAAAAUGAAAGAAAAAGAGACAAGGUUAUAAACAUGGGGAAAGACUCUAGAUUUGAUUAAUGCUAAAAUAUUAUAAAAUGAUUAUAGCAUUUCUUUUUCAUUUUUUAUGAGUGACACUUUUUUAAAAAAAAAAAUUUAGUAGGGGAAUGAUGGGAUUUAAAAAGCGAAAAAAGAAUAGGGAGAUCAAAAUUCAGGAUCUCUAAUUCCUGGGAGUAACAUGAUAAUAUUAUUUCUAAAAACCCAAAAUCAAAUCCUAUUGGUGUAAUAUAAAGGAAUUCGGAUGAUCGAACUGUUUAAAACAUAAAAUACUUCUUAAUUAUAAUAUCUUAUUCAGGAUAAGAAAACUUGAAUAGGUGAAAAAAGGUGGAUUAAAACUAUACGAAAGAAGUAGCAUAACAGUGAUAUAGCAUUUGGUGAUGGGAAGAUUCUUGGUGAUGUGUUUUUUAAGUUUGAUAGGCAUUUUAUUAUAAUCAUUUUGAGUCCUUAAAAAAAGCAUGGAAGUGUAAUAUUUGAAUAUAGAGGUGGGCAACAUGAGAUUAUUAGAAAUCUUAGAAGAAGUUUUUGAAAAUAUCCUUUGCUAUAAUACUAUUCUUUUUUUUUUCCUACCUUGUGAUUAUUGAUUUCCACAUUCACACUCGAAAUGCUAAGGCAAAAAGCAAAAUUCAAGGAUGAAAAAUGAAAGAAAAAGAGACAAGGUUGUAAACAUGGGGAAAGACUCUAGAUUUGAUUAAUGCUAAAAUAUUAUAAAAUGAUUAUAGCAUUUCUUUUUCAUUUUUUAUGAGUGACACUUUUUUUAAAAAAAAUGUAGUAGGGGAAUGAUGGGAUUUAAAAAGCGAAAAGAGAACAGGGAGAUCAAAAUUCAGAAUCUCUAAUUCCUGGGAGUAACAUGAUAAUAUUAUUUCUAAAAACCCAAAAUCAAAUCCUAUUGGUUUAGUAAUAUAAAGGAAUUUGGAUGAUUGAAGUGUUUAAAACAUAAAAUACUUCUUAAUUAUAAUAUCUAAUUCAUUAGUCGAAUGUGGAAUCUUAUGUUUGUUGCCCCUUUCUUUUUUGCUUUGGAUUUGGGUUUUUGGCGUUGAAUUUUGAGUAUGAAUUGAGUAAGAUUUUUUUUUUUUUUUUUAAGAAUUAAUCUUUUUUUUUUAAAUUAUUUAUUUUAUUGAUAGGAGCAAAUUUUACACACUGAGAAAGACCAAUUCGAAGUACAGCAAUCGACUGAAAAGGUAAUAAAUCAAACACAAAACCUCCAUGUCUCGUUGCAUAUUAGCUCCAGUUGUCCUUUGUUCUGCCCUUCAUACGCUUAUUUUUCCGAAUUGAAGGCAUUCCUAAUCUAUCAAGUCGAAUGGCCCCACGAGCCAUAGUUGGGAACCAAUUAAAGGCCUCGUAAAGCUUGACUUGAAUUGAGUAAGAUUAUAGCAUGAGAAGGUUCAUCAUGUUCAUUUAAUUAAGGUCUUCCUGCAUUUAAAAUGGGAGCUUACAUGACAUAAAAAAAGAUUAAAAUGGUAAUACUUUACAAAAGAGCAUCAUAGUGGGAACAUUUUUCCUAAAAAAGGUCACUUCAGAACUAAAUUCCGUGAAUCCCUGGUUUCAUGUGGGUUUUCUUUUCAUGGACGUACGUGAUUAACAUCAUGUCUCUUAUCAUUUCGAUGAGGAUUAUUAACAUCCAAGUCCUAGAGCCUGAUUGCAUUAGUACUAUCCUUGGCCUUGGGUAUAAUAUCACAAGUUCCUCCCUGUAAAUGUUGCAAUGCGUUUUAAGAGAGUGAGAAUUAAGUAUAUCACGGGGAAAAAAAAAAUUAAUGGCAAAGUAACUUACCAGAACAACCAACAGAUGGAGGAGGAUAAUCCAACAAGCAAGUCCUUUGGAAUCCAUCAAUUGGUAGGUUUUAUAUCCCUUGCAACUCCUCCUUUGAAGGAUUAGGCAACAGCAGAAGCAAAUGCCAAAUAUUACAUAUGGAUGAAAAGUGUGCUUGAUUAGAAGGUUCUUUUUCAAAUAGUCGAUUAAAUUAUGACCCCUUGAAAGAUAGUGUUUCUUAUUGAGGUUGAAAAAUGAACCAAAUUACUUGAUACUCAAAUCAGAUUUGGCUAAAUAAAAGUUUGUUUGAACUUAAUUUGCCAACUAAUCAAAUCAAAAUUUAAGAAGUAUUAUUAUGUGUUAGAUUAACUAUCAAAUUUGGCAUUAACUUGGCUUGAUAAACAUAAAAUUAGAAUUUACAAGUAAAAAAUUCAAAUUACUCAAGUUCGACUCAUGCUCGAUUCUAUAAAAAAGCUCAUUUGAGUUUGCCUUAAUUAAUAAACAAGUCAAGUUUGAAGACCUUCCUCUUAAAAAAAUUUUAAAAAAAUCAAGUUUGAGUACAGUUUCAAGUUUAUUAAAUAAUCUAACAAGUUUGAAUACUACAACAUUGAAUCUAGUAGAUCUAGACAAAAUCACUAAAUUUAUUUUAGACCACAACUGUAGAUUGUUUAGAAAACAAGGACCAAAAUGUAGACCUACCCACAUGAUGCAAACCAACCAGCCACGUGAUCCAUGUUGUAACCUUGCUAGCUUCACUUAGCUAUCGCCUUGUAUAAAUAGCCGUAUAGCCCCCAAGAGUCUUUUCACCACCAAAGUUACAUUUUGAGUCUGUUCAUAGGCAAGGCAUGGCUUCAUCUAUCACUCUGAUCGCAGUCUUUUCAAUUGCCCUGGUAAGGUUUCUCAACCAUCAAUACUGUACUUGAAGUAGUAGUUCAUAUGAGAUAAUUGCUAGACUGUAUAGGAAUACUGAUGAAACCCGUGAAUUAAAGCUACCUGAGAAAACACAUUCUUCUUCCUUUUUGCACAUUUAUCUGCAGCUCUAACCAUCGCCACUGAAGGAAUGGAAGCUCUUCAGAUGGUUCUGUAGUUCUAUUCUCAUAAAAGCUUGACUUCCAAACAUUACCAAUGCUGGUACCAUACUUAAACGUCAAUGUAACUUGAGUAAUGGCAUAUGACACUAUUUACCAUUUUUUAGUUAGAGGAUUCAUCCGGGAAAGAUUGAAAGUCAAAUCAAGAACCUUAAAAUCAACAUAAGGAAUAUUCCUGUUGCCAGUUGAGCUCGUAUUUGGAAAUUAACUAUCCUUCCCUACUAGGGGUCAUCUUUUACGGUGCUACCAUCAACGUACCUAUAUUGACGUUAGUUUCUUUUAUGUUAAUAUUUGCACAAAUGUGCAGUUUGCAUGCAUCACGGAAGCAAGGAAGAAUCCUACGGACUUUUUGCAAUCUGCUGUCAUUAACGAGCAUACUGAGGACAAUCACCAUGCAGAGUCGUCCCUUUCCAAUCAGAAGAAGACAAGUAAUGGUAACACAUUGAAGGAUUUCGAGUCGAAACCCGGCUCCUUUCUCUGGGGGUAUCAAGGCAACGACGCUGAGUCUAAGUCUAAGGAGGAGAAGCCUCUUAUGAAAGGCUUUGAGUCAAAGCCCGGCUCCUUUCUUUGGGGGUAUCAGGGCAACGACGCUGAAUCUAAGUCUAAGGAGGAGAAGCCUCUUAUGAAAGGCUUUGAGUCGAAGCCCGGCUCCUUUCUCUGGGGAUAUCAAGGCAACGACGUUGAGUCUAAGUCUAAGGAGGAGAAGCCUCUUACGAAAGACUUUGAGUCAAAGCCCGGCUCCUUUCUCUGGGGGUAUCAAGGUCCUCUUAUGAAAGACUUUGAGUCGAAGCCUGGCUCCUUUCUCUGGGGGUAUCAAGGCAACGACGCUGAGUCUAAGUCUAAGGAGGAGAAGCCUCUUAUGAAAGACUUUGAGUCGAAGCCCGGCUCCUUUCUCUGGGGGUAUCAAGGCAACGAUGCUGAGUCUAAGUCUAAGGAGAAGAAGCCUCUUAUGAAAGACUUUGAGUCGAAGCCCAGCUCCUUUCUCUGGGGGUAUCAAGGCCCUCUUAUGAAAGACUUUGAGUCAAAGCCCGGCUCCUUUCUCUGGGGGUAUCAAGGCAACCACGCUGAGUCUAAGUCUAAGAAGGAGAAGCCUCUUAUGAAAGACUUUGAGUCGAAGCCCGGCUCCUUUCUCUGGGGGUAUCAAGGCAACCACGCUGAGUAUAAGGAGAAGAAACCACUCGUGAAAGAUAAUUAAUGUCCAGGGAAGCCGCAAC
This 39464-nucleotide long non-coding RNA is filed under the name Coffea arabica (coffee). Its description in RNAcentral is "long non-coding RNA (CARA_LNC004136)". The record is from RNAcentral. Lineage: Eukaryota; Viridiplantae; Streptophyta; Magnoliopsida; Gentianales; Rubiaceae.